This 500-nucleotide ribosomal RNA is filed under the name uncultured Glomeromycotina. Its description in RNAcentral is "partial small subunit ribosomal RNA". It matches the Rfam family "Eukaryotic small subunit ribosomal RNA", at positions 591 to 1092 of the family's 1831-position model. Lineage: Eukaryota; Fungi; Glomeromycota. The record is from RNAcentral.
CCAAUAGCGUAUAUUAAAGUUGUUGCAGUUAAAAAGCUCGUAGUUGAAUUUCGGGGUCAGCAGGUUGGUCGUGCCUAUGGUAUGCACUGGCUUUACUGAUUCCUCCUUCUUGAAGAACUGUAAUUUCAUUAAUUUGGUGUUGCAGGGAAACAGGACUGUUACUUUGAAAAAAUUAGAGUGUUUAAAGCAGGCUAACGCUUGAAUACAUUAGCAUGGAAUAAUGAAAUAGGACGUUUGAUCCUAUUUUGUUGGUUUCUAGGAUUGACGUAAUGAUUAAUAGGGAUAGUUGGGGGCAUUAGUAUUCAAUUGUCAGAGGUGAAAUUCUUGGAUUUAUUGAAGACUAACUACUGCGAAAGCAUUUGCCAAGGAUGUUUUCAUUAAUCAAGAACGAAAGUUAGGGGAUCGAAGACGAUCAGAUACCGUCGUAGUCUUAACCAUAAACUAUGCCGACUAGGGAUCGGAUGAUGUUAAUUUUUUAAUGACUCAUUCGGCGCCUUACG